UACGUAGGGUGCAAGCGUUAAUCGGAAUUACUGGGCGUAAAGCGUGCGCAGGCGGUUCGCUAAGACAGCUGUGAAAUCCCCGGGCUUAACCUGGGAACUGCAUUUGUGACUGGCGGGCUAGAGUGUGGCAGAGGGGGGUAGAAUUCCACGUGUAGCAGUGAAAUGCGUAGAGAUGUGGAGGAAUACCGAUGGCGAAGGCAGCCCCCUGGGCCAAUACUGACGCUCAUGCACGAAAGCGUGGGGAGCAAACAGG
RNAcentral lists this ribosomal RNA (253 nucleotides) under uncultured bacterium. Its description in RNAcentral is "partial 16S ribosomal RNA". It matches the Rfam family "Bacterial small subunit ribosomal RNA", at positions 524 to 776 of the family's 1533-position model. The record is from RNAcentral.